Long non-coding RNA from Oncorhynchus keta (chum salmon), 590 nucleotides. RefSeq lists it as uncharacterized. The record is from RefSeq and is a predicted model, not a curated record. Lineage: Eukaryota; Metazoa; Chordata; Actinopteri; Salmoniformes; Salmonidae. The transcript is spliced from 5 exons.
CACAAGACAUAAACAACGACAGAUGAGGAAGUGAAGCCGGAAGUUUUAACAUGAACAAUAUCAAUAGUGAGCAAACGGAUGUGUGAACAAGUUUGAGAAAAUCAAGGGCUUGGUCACUGGAGUGUUUUGAUAAUGGAGUCCGGUGUUCAGGUGAGGCCAGGUGAGUGUUGAUACAGGUGUUCAGGUGGAGGUGAGGCCAGGUGAGUGUUGGUGUUGAUACAGGUGUUCAGGUGGAGGUGAGGCCAGGUGAGUGUUGAUACAGGUGUUCAGGUGGAGGUGAGGCCAGGUGAGUGUUGAUACAGGUGUUCAGGUGGAGGUGAGGCCAGGUGAGUGUUGGUGUUGAUACAGGUGUUCAGGUGGAGGUGAGGCCAGGUGAGUGUUGGUGUUGAUACAGGUGUUCAGGUGGAGGUGAGGCCAGGUGAGUGUUGAUACAGGUGUUCAGGUGGAGGUGAGGCCAGGUGAGUGAUGGUGUUGAUACAGGUGUGGUCAGGUGGAGGUGAGGCCAGGUGAGUGAUGGUGUUGAUACAGGUGUGUUCAGGUGGAGGUGAGGCCAGGUGAGUGUUGGUGUUGAUACAGGUGUGGUCAGGUGG